CUCUACAAAUCUUCGAAUAACUAACCCCAGAAAACUACUGCUGAGCGGCUUCUCCUCUUCUUCCUUCCCUCCACGAGCUUAGCUCCGCCACCACCCUCUUCUUUAAGAAGCAACAGGAAGGAAAACGAACCACACCACUAUUGUCAGUCCCAGAGAAGAAGAAAUCAAACACUCAUAUUUAUUAUUACGAUUAUAUAGUUUUGGUGUCAGAUCCUAUCAAAUUUUGAUCAAAAUCACGACUUAAAGUGCUAUUUAUAGAGGUCAUACUUUACUGAUUUGGAUGGACUGAUAUGUAUAGUUGAGGUAAAUAAGAAUAUGGGUGGAGCAGUUUUGUGCCACAAAAGGAUUUCAAUGUACAUCGGCAGUAGACCCUUUGGUUUCCACAUUUUACUUUAAAAAUGGUUCAGGAAUUAUAUAACACAAACCCUGUUGUUUAUGAAAGAAAGGAACGCUGCAGACGUUACUUGGUAGUGCCUGCUGAUGUUGAUGAACACUCUAUUGACCCUAUCGAUCAACUAGAAGUUU
Papaver somniferum (opium poppy) is the source of this 525-nucleotide long non-coding RNA. RefSeq lists it as uncharacterized. The record is from RefSeq and is a predicted model, not a curated record. The transcript is spliced from 3 exons. NCBI's taxonomy places the organism in Eukaryota, Viridiplantae, Streptophyta, Magnoliopsida, Ranunculales, Papaveraceae.